RNAcentral lists this ribosomal RNA (400 nucleotides) under uncultured bacterium. RNAcentral's name for it is "partial 16S ribosomal RNA". It matches the Rfam family "Bacterial small subunit ribosomal RNA", at positions 356 to 773 of the family's 1533-position model. The record is from RNAcentral.
GGGGAAUUUUGCGCAAUGGGGGGAACCCUGACGCAGCGACGCCGCGUGGGUGAUGAAGGCCUUCGGGUUGUAAAGCCCUGUUGGGGGGGAAGAUAAUGACGGUACCCCCUGAGGAAGCCCCGGCUAACUACGUGCCAGCAGCCGCGGUAAGACGUAGGGGGCGAGCGUUGUCCGGAAUUACUGGGCGUAAAGGGCGUGUAGGCGGCCUUUCGAGUCGGCUGUGAAAUACCCCGGCUCAACCGGGGGGGUGCAGUUGAAACUGGGGGGCUUGAGUGCAGGAGAGGAGGGUGGAAUUCCCGGUGGAGCGGUGAUAUGCGUAGAUAUCGGGAGGAACACCGGUGGCGAAGGCGACCUUCUGGCCUGUUACUGACGCUGAGGCGCGAAAGCCGGGGGAGCAAAC